RNAcentral lists this ribosomal RNA (253 nucleotides) under uncultured bacterium. RNAcentral describes it as "partial 16S ribosomal RNA". It matches the Rfam family "Bacterial small subunit ribosomal RNA", at positions 524 to 776 of the family's 1533-position model. The record is from RNAcentral.
CACGUAGGGCGCAAGCGUUGUCCGGAAUCACUGGGCGUAAAGCGCACGUAGGCGGCUUUUUAAGUCAGGGGUGAAAUCCUGGAGCUCAACUCCAGAACUGCCUUUGAUACUGAGAAGCUUGAGUCCGGGAGAGGUGAGUGGAACUGCGAGUGUAGAGGUGAAAUUCGUAGAUAUUCGCAAGAACACCAGUGGCGAAGGCGGCUCACUGGCCCGGUACUGACGCUGAGGUGCGAAAGCGUGGGGAGCAAACAGG